UACGUAGGGGGCUAGCGUUGUCCGGAUUUAUUGGGCGUAAAGAGCGUGUAGGCGGCCAGGUAGGUCUGCUGUGAAAACUCGAGGCUUAACCUCGAGAUGUCGGCGGAAACCAUCUGGCUAGAGUCCGGAAGAGGAGAGUGGAAUUCCUGGUGUAGCGGUGAAAUGCGCAGAUAUCGUCUGGAACGCCGAAGGUGAAAACAGCUCGCUGGGGCCGCGCUGACGCUGAGACACGAAAGCCAGGGGAGCGAACGGG
RNAcentral lists this ribosomal RNA (253 nucleotides) under uncultured bacterium. Its description in RNAcentral is "partial 16S ribosomal RNA". It matches the Rfam family "Bacterial small subunit ribosomal RNA", at positions 524 to 776 of the family's 1533-position model. The record is from RNAcentral.